GAUGAACGCUGGCGGCGUGCCUAAUACAUGCAAGUCGAGCGAACGGACGAGAAGCUUGCUUCUCUGAUGUUAGCGGCGGACGGGUGAGUAACACGUGGAUAACCUACCUAUAAGACUGGGAUAACUUCGGGAAACCGGAGCUAAUACCGGAUAAUAUUUUGGACCGCAUGGUUCAAAAGUGAAAGACGGUCUUGCUGUCACUUAUAGAUGGAUCCGCGCUGCAUUAGCUAGUUGGUAAGGUAACGGCUUACCAAGGCAACGAUGCAUAGCCGACCUGAGAGGGUGAUCGGCCACACUGGAACUGAGACACGGUCCAGACUCCUACGGGAGGCAGCAGUAGGGAAUCUUCCGCAAUGGGCGAAAGCCUGACGGAGCAACGCCGCGUGAGUGAUGAAGGUCUUCGGAUCGUAAAACUCUGUUAUUAGGGAAGAACAUAUGUGUAAGUAACUGUGCACAUCUUGACGGUACCUAAUCAGAAAGCCACGGCUAACUACGU
Molecule: ribosomal RNA, 496 nt
Filed under: uncultured bacterium
Lineage: Bacteria
Description: partial 16S ribosomal RNA
Rfam family: Bacterial small subunit ribosomal RNA
Source: RNAcentral